RNAcentral lists this ribosomal RNA (112 nucleotides) under Sinocyclocheilus grahami. The record is from RNAcentral. Lineage: Eukaryota; Metazoa; Chordata; Actinopteri; Cypriniformes; Cyprinidae.
ACUUACAGCCAUACCACCCUGAGGGUGCCUGAUCUCGUUUGAUCUUGGAAGUUAAGCAAGGUCGGGCUUGGUUAGUAAGGGCCUGGGAAUUUUGUGCAGGACUCUGUGGAUA